CUACCCAUCGAAGCCACCGCAUACCACGCCGCAAGCCGCCGCCGCAAGUCGCCUGAAGGCCUCAUGCCGCAGUCGCCGCUCGCCCCUUUCUCUGUAGGUCGCCAACGCAACCCUCGGCCCCAGGGUCGUUCCCUCCUCCCCACCAGGCUCGAGGAGGCCCGAGGAGGCGGCCAUGAGGAGCGCGCAGCCGCCGGAGUCCUGGGCAGAUCUAGCCGGGGCCGUCGGCAGCUAGCCAUCCCUUCCUCCGGGCGGCCAUGAAGAAUUGAAGCGGCUUGAGCAGAACUAGCGCAUGGACCAUGCGCACCUCCCGCCCUAGGAGCCACCGGUCCUCGUCAUCUGCUAUCAUCCACGAGGAAUCCAUCCAUAUAUCCAAAAGAAGGAUAAUUGAGUUGCAGCUGAGUUCUCCGAUUGGAUGAAGCAUAUAAAACUAGAAGAUUUUACUUAGCAAUAACCAUAGUUUACAUUUAUAGAUUGAAAAAUGUAAUGCCAUUCACAAGACCUUUUUCUUUGGUCGAAUUGAUGUAAAUGCUAUGAUGUAAUAUUCUUCAUAGGCGUGUUCUUAUAGUCAAAUUGAUACGAAUGAUAUGUUGUUGCACCAAUAACAUUGGUAUUUAUUUAUUGUAAUGCAUAUGUAUCCCGCACUCUUGUAUAUUCAUAAUAAAUACCUUUGAUAUUUUUAAUUUGUC
This is a long non-coding RNA of Triticum aestivum (bread wheat), 686 nucleotides long. RefSeq lists it as uncharacterized. The record is from RefSeq and is a predicted model, not a curated record. The transcript is spliced from 2 exons. NCBI's taxonomy places the organism in Eukaryota, Viridiplantae, Streptophyta, Magnoliopsida, Poales, Poaceae.